RNAcentral lists this ribosomal RNA (451 nucleotides) under uncultured bacterium. RNAcentral's name for it is "partial 16S ribosomal RNA". It matches the Rfam family "Bacterial small subunit ribosomal RNA", at positions 28 to 507 of the family's 1533-position model. The record is from RNAcentral.
GGCUAACGCUGGCGGCGCGCCUAACACAUGCAAGUCGAACGAACCCUUCGGGGUUAGUGGCAGACGGGUGAGUAACGCGUGGAUAAUGUGCCUCUUUGCUGGGGAUACCGUUCCGAAAGGAACGUUAAUACCGAAUGUGCUUGUUUGGCGGCAUCGUCGAGCAAGUAAACUGUUAGGGUGAAGAGAGCAGUCCGCGUUCUAUCAGCUAGUUGGUGAGGUAACGGCUCACCAAGGCUACGACGGAUAACUGGUCUGAGAGGAUGAUCAGUCACACUGGAACUGAGACACGGUCCAGAAUCCUACGGGAGGCAGCAGUGAGGAAGCUUGAAAAAUGAGCGAAAGCCGGAUGCAGCGACGCAGCGUGAAGGAGGAAAGCAUUCGGGUUGUAAACCUCUGUCAGUAGGGAAGAAGAAUGACGGUACCUACUGAGGAAGCGUCGGCUAACUACGUG